This 497-nucleotide ribosomal RNA is filed under the name uncultured bacterium. RNAcentral describes it as "partial 16S ribosomal RNA". It matches the Rfam family "Bacterial small subunit ribosomal RNA", at positions 28 to 507 of the family's 1533-position model. The record is from RNAcentral.
GAUGAACGCUGGCGGCGUGCCUAAUACAUGCAAGUCGAGCGAACGGACGCGAAGCUUGCUUCUCUGAUGUUAGCGGCGGACGGGUGAGUAACACGUGGAUAACCUACCUAUAAGACUGGGAUAACUUCGGGAAACCGGAGCUAAUACCGGAUAAUAUUUUGAACCGCAUGGUUCAAAAGUGACAGACGGUCUUGCUGUCACUUAUAGAUUGAUCCGCGCUGCAUUAGCUAGUUGGUAAGGUAACGGCUUACCAAGGCAACGAUGCAUAGCCGACCUGAGAGGGGGAUCGGCCACACUGGAACUGAGACACGGUCCAGACGCCUACGGGAGGCAGCAGUAGGGAAUCUUCCGCAAUGGGCGAAAGCCUGACGGAGCAACGCCGCGUGAGUGAUGAAGGUCUUCGGAUCGUAAAACUCUGUUAUUAGGGAAGAACAUAUGUGUAAGUAACUGUGCACAUCUUGACGGUACCUAAUCAGAAAGCCACGGCUAACUACGUG